This is a long non-coding RNA of Triplophysa dalaica, 1074 nucleotides long. RefSeq lists it as uncharacterized. NCBI's taxonomy places the organism in Eukaryota, Metazoa, Chordata, Actinopteri, Cypriniformes, Nemacheilidae. The transcript has 3 exons. The record is from RefSeq and is a predicted model, not a curated record.
CUGAGCCUGACACAACCAAGGCUGUCAAAUGCUUCAACAUUUUCGAUCAUGAUAGCUGGCCUGAGGACCAAGAGGACUUAGUGGUGCUGAGGACCUUGCAUUUCUCUUAAAUCACUUCUCCACAGUCCUGAGAAGAAAUUGUGUAAACACUGAGCUUGCAAAAGAAGAGUUUGUAGACUUGAAGCUGUUAAUUGCCAGGAUGUUCAAAGACAUGACCUACCUCAGCCUUUGGGAGCUCAUGUUGACCGGAGAGCCCUUAUGCUCAUAGUACAAGAACAUCCUGCACCUAGUACUCAUUAUGCUGGUCCUCCCUGUCACAGCUGCAGUUUGUGAGAGAGCGUUCUCUGCACAGAUGAUGAUCAAAUCAGACAGUAGAGCACCCCUUCAUUCAGACACAGUGGCAGAUCUGAUGAGAACCAGUGUAGAGGGACCAAGUCUUGAAGAUUUUGAUGCUAGAGAGAGUGUGGCCAGCUGGUUUAGCGAAGGCCAAAGAUCAAGAAGGUCAAACUUCAGGAGUUGGCCAUCCGGGGAGCAUGUGACUGCACUGGAGGAUAGUCCAUAACCAAUCGAGACAAGAGAUGCUCCGUUUGAAGCCCUUUAAACACUUAAUUUAGAUUUUCUUUUUAUUUAAUUUAUCUUGAGAUGUUUUAGGUUUAAAUUUCAGCUCUGUGAAGUGCUUUAAUCACCAACACUUUUUCAGUAAGCUACCUUUCUCGUAGAAUAAUAAGGGUAGCUGAACUGCCGAUGUCCAGCAGAGCACGUCUGUUGUAUUUUAGCAGUGCUGGGCAUUUAUGCUCUGCAAAGAAAACAGGCAACAAACAAAAAAUAAAAAAAGACAACAUUCGAGAGCGAAGAAAGCAAACACGUCUGCCACCGGUGGAAAAUAAUGUCGAUUGAGCGCUUUAAAUCUUUGUUGAAAACUCAUCUUUUUCGCUAGUGCUUUUAAUUAUUCGUAGCUAUCUGGGCUGUCUUAUGCGUCUUGUUUUAUAUUGUCAUUUUAUGUUUAUUAUUUGGUUGUAAAGCACUUUGGUUAAUGUGUGCUGUACAUGUGCUAUACAAAUAAAAUGAUUGAUU